GCUCACUUAGCUCAGUUGGUAGAGCAUCUCCGUCACAUGGAGGGGGUCGGGGGUUCGAAUCCCUCAGUGAGCACCA
Molecule: transfer RNA, 76 nt
Filed under: Centipeda dianae
Lineage: Bacteria; Bacillati; Bacillota; Negativicutes; Selenomonadales; Selenomonadaceae
Also listed under: 27 other names
Description: Selenomonas dianae tRNA-Val
Rfam family: tRNA
About the family: Transfer RNA (tRNA) molecules are approximately 80 nucleotides in length. Their secondary structure includes four short double-helical elements and three loops (D, anti-codon, and T loops).
Source: RNAcentral